RNAcentral lists this ribosomal RNA (124 nucleotides) under Lepisosteus oculatus (spotted gar). The record is from RNAcentral. Lineage: Eukaryota; Metazoa; Chordata; Actinopteri; Semionotiformes; Lepisosteidae.
GCUAGCAGCCAUGUCGCCCUGUAACACAACUGACAACUGGCAACCCACUGAAGCUCAGCAGGUGUGAGCCUGCUCAGUACCUGGAUGGGAGACCUCCUGGGAAAAACUAAGGUUGCUGCUGGAA